ACUCAGGCCUAUAUGGAGAAAGGGUUAGCAUCACCUGAUGUUGGUGACCUGGGAAAACUGCAUGAGUCAAGCAGAGAAAAGAAUUGUUAUUUGAUGGGAAGUCUUCCUGUUGGAGCCAGCCUGGGACAAAUCAUGAAGUAGACCAUGUUACUUCUACUCCAGAGGACAUCUCCCUUCAUCCUCCAAGUUUCUCAAGUGCCUCUUGCUGCUCCCUCCCAUCCAGAGCUUGCCACCCUGAAACGUCUCCUUGUGCAGAUGCGUCCACUUCCUAUGUCCCCCUCGAGUACUCUAUUUCUCUGGGAUUCUGCUUUAUGUUGAAAAACUGAUAAGCAGAUUUAAAGCAAGGACAAAACAUGUUUAAUGGGG
Molecule: long non-coding RNA, 366 nt
Filed under: Equus caballus (horse)
Lineage: Eukaryota; Metazoa; Chordata; Mammalia; Perissodactyla; Equidae
Description: lncRNA (ENSECAG00000028228.3)
Source: RNAcentral